GCGCAUUCUCUUUAAGGCAGUGUAUUAAGCAGUCCAACUUCUGUCCGUAGAGGGGUCAAAUUGCAAGAUGUGCCUUCUCUACCGAAAUGUACCAUGGCAAAAGAUGUUCUUAUAUCCUGCAGUUGAAAAUGUAAAGACAACUGGCCAACUGGGAUUGUUGAGAAAGCUUACCAACCGAUAGCUCAAGGAUGAAGCUGUUAUUCUGAUCAGAAGUAAUGGCUUGUCAGAUGUGAAACUCCUGAGUUUGGAAAGAUCAUUUCAUGUCCAGUUCCGGGGGGAACUAUGUUUAAGUUCCUGUACAUGUUUAAGUUUACUCA
Molecule: long non-coding RNA, 317 nt
Organism: Rosa chinensis
Lineage: Eukaryota; Viridiplantae; Streptophyta; Magnoliopsida; Rosales; Rosaceae
Exons: 2
Source: RefSeq, a predicted model, not a curated record